Small nuclear RNA from Protopterus annectens (West African lungfish), 103 nucleotides. Lineage: Eukaryota; Metazoa; Chordata; Ceratodontiformes; Protopteridae. The record is from RefSeq and is a predicted model, not a curated record.
GUGCUUUGGUAGCACAUAUACUAACAUUGGAAUGAUGCAGAGAAGAUUAGCAUGGCCCCUGAGCAAUGGCGACUCUCAGACUUGUGAAGUGCCACAUAUUUUU